CGAACGCUGGCGGCGCGCUUUAUACAUGCAAGUCGAACGUGAAGCUCGGAGCUUGCUCCGGGUGGAAAGUGGCGAACGGGUGAGUAUCACGUGAGAAACCUGCCCCGAAGACCGGGAUAACACCGGGAAACCGGUGCUAAUACCGGAUGCCCUCACCGGAUCGCAUGGUCUGGUGAGGAAAUGGAUUCCGCUUCGGGAUGGUCUCGCGGCCUAUCAGCUUGUUGGUGGGGUAACGGCCCACCAAGGCUUCGACGGGUAGCUGGUCUGAGAGGAUGUCCAGCCACACUGGGACUGAGACACGGCCCAGACUCCUACGGGAGGCAGCAGGUAGGGAAUCUUGCACAAUGGGACGAAAGUCUGAUGCAGCGACGCCGCGUGUGGGAUGACUGCCCUCGGGGUU
Molecule: ribosomal RNA, 400 nt
Filed under: uncultured bacterium
Lineage: Bacteria
Description: bacterial SSU rRNA
Rfam family: Bacterial small subunit ribosomal RNA
Source: RNAcentral